RNAcentral lists this ribosomal RNA (428 nucleotides) under uncultured bacterium. RNAcentral describes it as "partial 16S ribosomal RNA". It matches the Rfam family "Bacterial small subunit ribosomal RNA", at positions 354 to 796 of the family's 1533-position model. The record is from RNAcentral.
GUAGGGAAUAUUGCGCAAUGGACGAAAGUCUGACGCAGCGACGCCGCGUGAGUGAUGAAGGCCUUAGGGUCGUAAAGCUCUGUUGAAUGGGAAGAAAAAAAUGACGGUACCAUUCGAGGAAGGACCGGCUAACUUCGUGCCAGCAGCCGCGGUAAUACGAGGGGUCCUAGCGUUGUUCGGAAUCAUUGGGCGUAAAGGGUGUGUAGGUGGCCAUGUAAGUCAGGUGUGAAAGCCCCGGGCUCAACCCGGGAAGUGCACUUGAUACUGCGUGGCUUGAGUACCGAAGAGGGUAGUGGAAUUCCAGGUGUAGUGGUGAAAUACGUAGAUAUCUGGAGGAACACCGGUGGCGAAAGCGGCUACCUGGUCGAGUACUGACACUGAGACACGAAAGCAUGGGGAUCAAACAGGAUUAGAUACCCGUGUAGUCC